CCUACGGGUGGCAGCAGUGGGGAAUAUUGGACAAUGGGGGGAACCCUGAUCCAGCGACGCCGCGUGAGUGAAGAAGUAUUUCGGUAUGUAAAGCCCUAUCAGCAGGGAAGAACAAUGACGGUACCUGACUAAGAAGCACCGGCUAAAUACGUGCCAGCAGCCGCGGUAAUACGUAUGGUGCAAGCGUUAUCCGGAUUUACUGGGUGUAAAUGGAGCGCAGGCGGCGCGUUAAGCCUGGUGGGAAAGCCCGCGGCCCAACCGCGGGACUGCAUUGGGAACUGGCGCGCGGGAGUGCCGGAGGGGUAGGCGGAAGGCCAGGGGUAGCGGUGAAAGGCGUAGAGAGUGGGAGGAACAGCAGUGGCGAAGGCGGCCUACUGGGGGGAGACUGACGCUGAGGGUCGAAAGCGUGGGGAGCAAACAGGAUUAGAUACCCCUGUAGGC
This 441-nucleotide ribosomal RNA is filed under the name uncultured bacterium. Its description in RNAcentral is "partial 16S ribosomal RNA". It matches the Rfam family "Bacterial small subunit ribosomal RNA", at positions 338 to 795 of the family's 1533-position model. The record is from RNAcentral.